This 218-nucleotide long non-coding RNA is filed under the name Brassica napus (rape). RNAcentral describes it as "long non-coding RNA (BNAP_LNC024370)". The record is from RNAcentral. Lineage: Eukaryota; Viridiplantae; Streptophyta; Magnoliopsida; Brassicales; Brassicaceae.
UGAUCGUGUUGGUAAGAGAGAAAAAAUCAAGGGUCAAUCAACUUAAAGCUAAGUUUCAUAUAUACGAAAAAGAAGUCCAAUGAGAGUUAUUCUAUUGCUAAUCUAAUUCUAUAUAACACUCGGUCUAAUUUUAUUUUAAUUUCGUAUUAAUAGAUUGGUUUACUUAUAACGGAUUACAUGUUGAUUUAGUAUAAGUUGUCCGGUUUUAUUGUCAUAGU